Long non-coding RNA from Macaca mulatta (Rhesus monkey), 1217 nucleotides. RefSeq lists it as uncharacterized. NCBI's taxonomy places the organism in Eukaryota, Metazoa, Chordata, Mammalia, Primates, Cercopithecidae. The record is from RefSeq and is a predicted model, not a curated record.
AAAAAAAAAGAAAAAGAAAGAAAGUUCAAUGGCAUUGUAGGGAGAUGCCUCAAGUGAGUUUUCAACUCUGUCCUCACCGGGUGCUUACCUUCUCAAAGCAUCUAUUUGCUUCUCAGAAAAAUGGAGAAAAUUGCCAUUUACCUCAUUGGCUCUCAACCCACACUAAGCAUCAGAAUUACUGGCGGUGGGAGAAGGAAUUACAAUGUUGGGUGCAGGCAUCUGUGGUUGUUAGAGCUGCCCAGGUGAUUCUAAUGGGUAAGCAGGGGCCUUUCUCAAGGAGAUAAUUAAAUCAGAUAAAUUAAGAAAACAUACUCUGAGACCUGUAAAACUCUCUGUAUGGUAAAUUACUUUCAUUAUUCAACACCAGAAAAAAGCCAGAAGUUGAACCUCAGUUCCUGCCCUCGCACAGGCAAGAUGGCGCUGAAGGCCUGCGGCUGAGUCUCCCACCUUCCAGAAGCCGUCCCCAGCUCCACAGCCUGCCUCCUACAUGAACACCCACCUCUUCUGCCUGCGGGCACAGCCUGGACAUCCAUGCUUUUUCGCAUAUGGGCAGGUUCCUGCUGGACACUCCUCCAAGCACAGCCCAUCAUAGAGGACCCAGGAACUCUCACGACAGAGCUCGCAGUCGUCGACUUUGGGGCCACUGCACUCCAGACAGUCUUUAUGGCAGGGGACACAGUGGCGCGAGUCUGAGUAGAAGCCACGGGGACAGGACUGGUGGCACAUAUCAUCAUGCAGGAAGAACUCAGGCAUGCACUCUGGGGAAAGGAGGAAGCAGCAAGUUAUCCCCGGGGGACAGGAGAAAGGAAUCCAUUGUCCACAGUGGGCUAGCUCCUCCCUCAGCACUUUGGUUGAUUUGACCUGAGAGUACCCUAGCCCUUUCCCCAUCCUACCAGGGCAGAGACUUGAUGUCUAACAAGCCCUGCCUUGGGAGGAGGAGGCCACACAUGGUGACCAUAUUAGAUGGUGCUGGACUUACGCACUGAAAUGGUCUGCCCUUUGGAGGUGCAAAAAAUUGCAACGCUGCAAAAGACAAGGAUGGCUGAGAGGCUGGCGGUAUUGUUUGAAAACCCUGAAGAGCAUUAACAGAUUUAAAAAAUUGUAUCAGGAACUUCACACUCUGUUCAAUACAGAAAGCAGUUUAGGAAUGGUUGGAUUAGUUAACUUUUCAUUCAUUGAUCAGGUACCACAAUGAAUAAAGCAUUGAUCAGUGUGAA